AUGCUCACGUCAGCAGCAUAUCUAUUAAAAUGGGAAUGAUAAAGAAAAGGUUAGCAUGAUGCCUGCACAAGGAAGAUACACAAGACACAAUUCAUGGAAUCCUUGUAU
Molecule: small nuclear RNA, 108 nt
Organism: Suricata suricatta (meerkat)
Lineage: Eukaryota; Metazoa; Chordata; Mammalia; Carnivora; Herpestidae
Source: Ensembl